UACGGAGGGAGCUAGCGUUGUUCGGAAUUACUGGGCGUAAAGCGCGUGUAGGCGGCUACUCAAGUCAGAGGUGAAAGCCUGGAGCUCAACUCCAGAACUGCCUUUGAAACUAGGUGGCUUGAAUCCGGGAGAGGUGAGUGGAAUUCCGAGUGUAGAGGUGAAAUUCGUAGAUAUUCGGAAGAACACCAGUGGCGAAGGCGGCUCACUGGACCGGUAUUGACGCUGAAGCGCGAAAGCGUGGGGAGCAAACAGG
This 253-nucleotide ribosomal RNA is filed under the name uncultured bacterium. RNAcentral describes it as "partial 16S ribosomal RNA". It matches the Rfam family "Bacterial small subunit ribosomal RNA", at positions 524 to 776 of the family's 1533-position model. The record is from RNAcentral.